GAUGAACGCUGGCGGCGUGCUUAACACAUUCAAGUCGAACGGUGAAUACCCUUCGGGGUAUGAUCAGUGGCGGACGGGUGAGUAACGCGUGAGCAAUCUGCCUAUGUGAGGGGGAUAACGUUUGGAAACGAACGCUAAUACCGCAUGAAGCAACGAAUUCGCAUGUUUUUUGUUGCCAAAGAAUUAUCGCACAUAGAUGAGCUCGCGUCCCAUUAGAUAGUUGGUGAGGUAACGGCCCACCAAGUCGACGAUGGGUAGCCGGACUGAGAGGUUGAACGGCCACAUUGGAACUGGAGAAACGGUCCAG
RNAcentral lists this ribosomal RNA (307 nucleotides) under uncultured bacterium. RNAcentral's name for it is "bacterial SSU rRNA". It matches the Rfam family "Bacterial small subunit ribosomal RNA", at positions 28 to 334 of the family's 1533-position model. The record is from RNAcentral.